UGGACAGCAAUCCACGACUUCUUUCUUCUUUUUCUUCUAUUCUUCUUCCUUCUUCUAUGUUCUACCCAAACACAGAGAGAGAGACAAGGGAGUGAGAUCGAGAGAUUGAGAGGGAGAUCAGAGAGAGUUGAGACUAGAGAGAUGAGACCGAGAGAGAGACGAGAGAUUGAGAGUGAGAUCGGGAGAGUUGAGGGGGAUGGAGCCCGAUCCUUCGGUGGGUGACGCCGACGAGACCAGAGAACUCCGGUGAGCCAGCGACCCGUAGACCCGAUGCAAUCGCCGAUCUGUGCGACCCGGAAGAGAGAACCCGAGCAACCUGAACCCGUGACCCGCUGAACCCGAGAAGAGACCAGGUUCUCCAUGUGUGUUUUUCAGAGACUUUUCCGACGGAAACAGUGACAAUUUCCGGUGGAUUCUUGAGGAAAAUCCCCAAGGAUCGUGUUAUAAUUGGAGACUUCAAUGGGUUCUCCAAUGCAGAGUUCGAGUUGGAGUCCAAUGCAGCCAAGAUGAUGUUUCUUUGGUUGCAGGUACUUCGGUAUAGUUGAUGGGUUAGUAGCAGUGUGCUUGGGAUAUUAAGACUGAAGCUUGCCGCGACGGUUGUAAUUGUCGGACCACGGGUUGCCCACUAUUUUAUAGGUUUGGUAUGGCUUAUGACGUUUAUGUCACUUAUUCUUUGUAAAGCCAUUGUUGUUUUGUAAUUAUUGUGUUAAUAAAACUCAAACAGAUAGAUGUUAAAUGGCUCUUUGUUGUAAUUAAUUUGUGAUAGAUGUAUAAGUUGUAAUUUUCGCUAUUCAGGUUUA
Alnus glutinosa is the source of this 800-nucleotide long non-coding RNA. RefSeq lists it as uncharacterized. The record is from RefSeq and is a predicted model, not a curated record. The transcript has 3 exons. NCBI's taxonomy places the organism in Eukaryota, Viridiplantae, Streptophyta, Magnoliopsida, Fagales, Betulaceae.